RNAcentral lists this transfer RNA (56 nucleotides) under Cavia porcellus (domestic guinea pig). Lineage: Eukaryota; Metazoa; Chordata; Mammalia; Rodentia; Caviidae. The record is from Rfam by way of RNAcentral.
GGGGAAUUAGCUCAGCGGCAUAAGCACCUGCCUUGCAAGCAGGUGGUCAAUCCCCG